GAUGAACGCUGGCGGCGUGCCUAAUACAUGCAAGUCGAGCGAACGGACGAGAAGCUUGCUUCUCUGACGUUAGCGGCGGACGGGUGAGUAACACGUGGAUAACCUACCUAUAAGACUGGGAUAACUUCGGGAAACCGGAGCUAAUCCCGGAUGAUAUUUUGAACCGCAUGGUUCAAAAGUAAAAGACGGUCUUGCUGUCACUUAUAGAUGGAUCCCCGCUGCAUUAGCUAGUUGGUAAGGUAACGGCUUACCACGGCAACGAGGCAUAGCCGACCUGAGAGGGUGAUAGGCCACACUGGAACGGAGACACGGUCAAGGGUCCUACGGGAGGCAGCAGUCGGGAAUCUUCCGCAAAGGGCGAAAGCCUGACGGAGCAACGCCGCGUGAGUGGUGAAGGUCUUCGGAUCGUAAAACUCUGUUAUUAGGGGAGAACAUAUGUGUAAGGAGCUGUGCACAUAUUGACGGUACCUAAUCAGAAAGCCACGGCUAACUACGUG
This 497-nucleotide ribosomal RNA is filed under the name uncultured bacterium. Its description in RNAcentral is "partial 16S ribosomal RNA". It matches the Rfam family "Bacterial small subunit ribosomal RNA", at positions 28 to 507 of the family's 1533-position model. The record is from RNAcentral.